GAUGAACGCUAGCGGCAGGCCUAAUACAUGCAAGUCGAACGGGUGGUCGCAAGACCACUAGUGGCGCACGGGUGCGUAACGCGUAACCAACCUGCCCCGAUCUGGGGGAUAGCCCGCCGAAAGGCGGAUUAAUACCGCAUAUACCCGCAGCCUGGCAUCAGGCAACGGGGAAAGAUUUAUUGGAUCGGGAUGGGGUUGCGUGACAUUAGCUAGUUGGCGGGGUAAGGGCCCACCAAGGCGACGAUGUCUAGGGGACCUGAGAGGGUGAUCCCCCACACUGGCACUGGGAUACGGGCCAGACUCCUACGGGAGGAAGCAGUAGGGAAUAUUGGGCAAGGGGCGAGAGCCUGACCCAGCCAUGCCGCGUGCCGGAUGAAGGCCUUCUGGGUUGUAAACGGCUUUUCUCAGGGAAGAAAAAGACCUUGCGAGGUACACUGACGGUACCUGAGGAAUAAGCACCGGCUAACUCCGUG
Molecule: ribosomal RNA, 473 nt
Filed under: uncultured bacterium
Lineage: Bacteria
Description: partial 16S ribosomal RNA
Rfam family: Bacterial small subunit ribosomal RNA
Source: RNAcentral